AACGCUCGUUGGAUUCUAAUGCAACUUCACCAUAAAGUUAAGUAGCUCACACCAGUUUUAUAGCAGAAUCAGGGCAAAGCCACACAGACUAAGUGCUAAUCGCACCCACAUAAAACAAAUAGAUGAAGAUAGACAUGUUAAUAGUUCCAAAAUUUUCUUUCUAAAUCAUCGCCAAAGAAAUUAUCGAGAAUAACGCCCCUAUUCUGAAUCUAAACAUGAACUAGUGUCCUUAUUUGAAACCAUAUUCAUUGAUAAACAUUAUAGAAAUGAACAACCAAAGGAAGACAUUUCUUGUCCAGUAAAAAAACUCCAAAUCUUUAACGCACAUGGAUUCAUUUUUAACCAAUAAGACACCCUCUUUUUAUAAGAGUAAAUACACUAAUCUUUAUGUUAUAUCCCUAAUUGGUAUCACAUUGCAUUAAUUUUAACGAAAAGUUAAAAUUUUAAAAGUAGUAACAAUUUAAUCAAAAUAAUAAAAUC
RNAcentral lists this long non-coding RNA (480 nucleotides) under Citrus maxima (pomelo). RNAcentral describes it as "long non-coding RNA (CMAX_LNC004434)". The record is from RNAcentral. Lineage: Eukaryota; Viridiplantae; Streptophyta; Magnoliopsida; Sapindales; Rutaceae.